This 253-nucleotide ribosomal RNA is filed under the name uncultured bacterium. RNAcentral's name for it is "partial 16S ribosomal RNA". It matches the Rfam family "Bacterial small subunit ribosomal RNA", at positions 524 to 776 of the family's 1533-position model. The record is from RNAcentral.
UACGGGGGGGGCAAGCGUUGUUCGGAAUUACUGGGCGUAAGGGGCGCGUAGGCGGCCUACUAAGUCGGACGUGAAAUCCCUCGGCUCAACCGAGGAACUGCGUCCGAUACUGGCAGGCUGGAAUCCGGGAGAGGGAUGUGGAAUUCCAGGUGUAGCGGUGAAAUGCGUAGAUAUCUGGAGGAACACCGGUGGCGAAGGCGGCAUCCUGGACCGGUAUUGACGCUGAGGCGCGAAAGCUAGGGGAGCAAACGGG